RNAcentral lists this ribosomal RNA (497 nucleotides) under uncultured bacterium. RNAcentral's name for it is "partial 16S ribosomal RNA". It matches the Rfam family "Bacterial small subunit ribosomal RNA", at positions 28 to 507 of the family's 1533-position model. The record is from RNAcentral.
GAUGAACGCUGGCGGCGUGCCUAAUACAUGCAAGUCGAGCGAACGGACGAGAAGCUUGCUUCUCUGAUGUUAGCGGCGGACGGGUGAGUAACACGUGGAUAACCUACCUAUAAGACUGGGAUAACUUCGGGAAACCGGAGCUAAUACCGGAUAAUAUUUUGAACCGCAUGGUUCAAAAGUGAAAGACGGUCUUGCUGUCACUUAUAGAUGGAUCCGCGCUGCAUUAGCUAGUUGGUAAGGUAACGGCUUACCAAGGCAACGAUGCAUAGCCGACCUGAGAGGGUGAUCGGCCACACGGGAACUGAGACACGGUCCAGACUCCUACGGGAGGCAGCAGUAGGGAAUCUUGCGCAAUGGGCGAAAGCCUGACGGAGCAACGCCGCGUGAGUGAUGAAGGUCUUCGGAUCGUAAAACUCUUUUAUUAGGGAAGAACAUAUGUGUAAGUAACUGUGCACAUCUUGACGGUACCUAAUCAGAAAGCAACGGCUAACUACGUG